UACAGAGGGUGCGAGCGUUGUCCGGAAUCACUGGGCGUAAAGGGCGCGUAGGUGGUUGGAUACGUCUGCUGUGAAAUGUCCCGGCCUAACCGGGAGGGUGCGGCAGAUACGGUCUGACUUGAGGGUGACAGAGGAGCGUAGAAUUCCGGGUGUAGUGGUGAAAUGCGUAGAGAUCCGGAGGAAUACCAGUGGCGCAAGCGGCGCUCUGGGUCACAUCUGACACUGAGACGCGAAGGCAUGGGGAGCGAACGGG
RNAcentral lists this ribosomal RNA (253 nucleotides) under uncultured bacterium. Its description in RNAcentral is "partial 16S ribosomal RNA". It matches the Rfam family "Bacterial small subunit ribosomal RNA", at positions 524 to 776 of the family's 1533-position model. The record is from RNAcentral.